GUUUUCCGUGCAGUGUCCAGCAAGAUGCAAAUUCUCAAGGCUAAUAGAGGAACACAGGAAAAUUUCUCCCUUCUGAUGCUCCUUCUUAAUUUGGCAUUUGGAAAGCUGACCUGGUUAUUGAACAUAUCUCUGUGGUAAAAAAAUAAAAUAUAACUUCCUUGGUGCUGCUAUUUUCUCACAGACUGCAUAGAUCUUCAUUCCCAGCUCUGCUUUUCAAGGGGAAGUAUUUUGGAGGAAGUAAAGCACUGCUGGCAUUUCUGUGGGAGUUCCCUCUUCACUUUGUUCUGACUGGGACAAAAUCCGGAUCAGGAGCAACGAGUGCAUGGAAUUAGGACUGAUAGCAGCACUGACCAUGAAAACUUCCUUACAGACAGUCAGGGUUUGGGAAAAGCCAAUUAUCAAUGAUCUAUGCAUGUUUAAGUUUGGAGUAAUCAAAGCAUGGCAUCCUCAAGACCUGUCAUCAGCCAGGAAAGUUUUAUUCUGGUAUAAUGCCUUUGUUUACAAAGACUCUGGCUUAGAAGACAGCAUAAUUUUAUUAAAAGUCUGACAAUUUAUUCCUGUGAGCACUCCACAGUCACAGUAAUUCAUUAUAUUUUUCUACCAACCUGAUAUAAAUAAAAUCUGAAAAAAUAGUGAAUAUAUGAAUAAUGAUUAUAUCUUCUAGAAUAAAGGACAUCAGUGGCAA
Molecule: long non-coding RNA, 685 nt
Organism: Catharus ustulatus (Swainson's thrush)
Lineage: Eukaryota; Metazoa; Chordata; Aves; Passeriformes; Turdidae
Exons: 3
Source: RefSeq, a predicted model, not a curated record